RNAcentral lists this ribosomal RNA (1591 nucleotides) under Neisseria sp. HMSC065C04. RNAcentral describes it as "bacterial LSU rRNA". It matches the Rfam family "Bacterial large subunit ribosomal RNA", at positions 1 to 1633 of the family's 2925-position model. The record is from RNAcentral. Lineage: Bacteria; Pseudomonadati; Pseudomonadota; Betaproteobacteria; Neisseriales; Neisseriaceae.
AUAGAGUCAAGUGAAUAAGUGCAUCAGGUGGAUGCCUUGGCGAUGAUAGGCGACGAAGGACGUGUAAGCCUGCGAAAAGCGUGGGGGAGCUGGCAAUAAAGCUAUGAUCCCGCGGUGUCCGAAUGGGGAAACCCACCUCUUAGGAGGUAUCCUUAUCUGAAUACAUAGGAUAAGCGAAGCGAACCCGGAGAACUGAACCAUCUAAGUACCCGGAGGAAAAGAAAUCAACCGAGAUUCCGCAAGUAGUGGCGAGCGAACGCGGAGGAGCCUGUACGUGAUAACUGUCGAGAUAGAAGAACAAGCUGGGAAGCUUGACCAUAGUGGGUGAUAGUCCCGUAUUUGAAAUCUCAAUAGUGGUACUAAGCGUACGAAAAGUAGGGCGGGACACGUGAAAUCCUGUCUGAAUAUGGGGGGACCAUCCUCCAAGGCUAAAUACUCAUCAUCGACCGAUAGUGAACCAGUACCGUGAGGGAAAGGCGAAAAGAACCCCGGGAGGGGAGUGAAAUAGAACCUGAAACCUGAUGCAUACAAACAGUGGGAGCACCCUUGUGGUGUGACUGCGUACCUUUUGUAUAAUGGGUCAACGACUUACAUUCAGUAGCGAGCUUAACCGAAUAGGGGAGGCGUAGGGAAACCGAGUCUUAAUAGGGCGAACAGUUGCUGGGUGUAGACCCGAAACCGAGUGAUCUAUCCAUGGCCAGGUUGAAGGUGCCGUAACAGGUACUGGAGGACCGAACCCACGCAUGUUGCAAAAUGCGGGGAUGAGCUGUGGAUAGGGGUGAAAGGCUAAACAAACUCGGAGAUAGCUGGUUCUCCCCGAAAACUAUUUAGGUAGUGCCUCGAGCAAGACACUGAUGGGGGUAAAGCACUGUUAUGGCUAGGGGGUUAUUGCAACUUACCAACCCAUGGCAAACUAAGAAUACCAUCAAGUGGUUCCUCGGGAGACAGACAGCGGGUGCUAACGUCCGUUGUCAAGAGGGAAACAACCCAGACCGCCAGCUAAGGUCCCAAAUGAUAGAUUAAGUGGUAAACGAAGUGGGAAGGCCCAGACAGCCAGGAUGUUGGCUUAGAAGCAGCCAUCAUUUAAAGAAAGCGUAAUAGCUCACUGGUCGAGUCGUCCUGCGCGGAAGAUGUAACGGGGCUCAAAUCUAUAACCGAAGCUGCGGAUGCCAGUUUACUGGCAUGGUAGGGGAGCGUUCUGUAGGCCGAUGAAGGUGCAUUGUAAAGUGUGCUGGAGGUAUCAGAAGUGCGAAUGUUGACAUGAGUAGCGAUAAAGCGGGUGAAAAGCCCGCUCGCCGAAAGCCCAAGGUUUCCUACGCAACGUUCAUCGGCGUAGGGUGAGUCGGCCCCUAAGGCGAGGCAGAAAUGCGUAGUCGAUGGGAAACAGGUUAAUAUUCCUGUACUUGAUUCAAAUGCGAUGUGGGGACGGAGAAGGUUAGGUUAGCAAGCUGUUGGAAUAGCUUGUUUAAGCCGGUAGGUGGAAGACUUAGGCAAAUCCGGGUCUUCUUAACACCGAGAAGUGAUGACGAGUGUCUACGGACAUGAAGUAACCGAUACCACGCUUCCAGGAAAAGCCACUAAGCUUCAGUUU